Non-coding RNA from Mycena rosella, 93 nucleotides. The record is from the annotation of a GenBank genome assembly. NCBI's taxonomy places the organism in Eukaryota, Fungi, Basidiomycota, Agaricomycetes, Agaricales, Mycenaceae.
GGCCCGGUAGCGGAUGGUCCGCCCCUGCUCUGAAUAACAGUUGAGUUUUCCCCCACUCUGCGGGCAUCGCUCGUUCGAAUCGAGCUCGGGCCA